UGCAUGUCUAGAUUGAUGUUUAAAGUAGAAACAAACUCUACAGGUGGUACUUAACGUGCUUGGUGUGGAGUGGACACCUUAUUGACUUUGUGGACGUUUAUUUCUCAUGCAGGAAAAAAUGCGGAGAGAUGCAGAGCAGGCGCUGACUCUGAUGUGGCUUCUCUCUUGGAUCCCACACAGCAUGUGUCAUUCUCCCCCAGGGAGGCCCAGACUAACAAAAUGUCGGUCACCUGAGAAAGAGACCUUUACUUGCUGGUGGGAGCCUGGAUCCACUGGUGGAUUGCCCACUAGCUACCACCUGUAUUAUAGAAAAGAGAGCUCCGUGGAAGUCUUUGAAUGCCCGGAUUAUCAUAAGGCGGGGGACAAUUCCUGUUAUUUUGAUAAGCGGCACACUUCUAUUUGGAUCAUAUACAACAUCACAGUGGUGGCCUCCAAUACACUGGGAAAAGCCUAUUCAGAAUCUGUGGAAGUUGAUGUUAUGGAUAUCGUGCAGCCUCACCCUCCAGAGAAUGUGAAUGUGACUUUGAUGCAGACCAAGAACAGUCCAUUUUUCCUGGUGCAGUGGCAGCCUCCCCAUGACGCAGACACCCGCUCAGGCUGGGUAACAAUCAAAUAUGAGGUUCGCUUAAAAAACAGCGGAGACGAGGCGUACAGCAGCAAUUGGGAGUCAUAUGGUGCUGGAAAACAGUUGGAGUUUAGCAUCUAUAGUCCUCAGCCGGGAGCAAAGUACGUCGUGCAAGUGCGCUGCAAACUAGACCAAGGCCUCUGGAGUGAAUGGAGCCCAUCCGCUUUCAUCCAGAUUCCAGACACUAUGUCUGACACACAGAAUGCAGUUAUGAUCCUUGCGGUCACUCUAUCUGUCAUAAUUUUCCUGCUGACUGCAGGAGUGCUGACAGUCAAUAUGAAACGGGUGAAGCAUUUUUUACUGCCACCGGUUCCAGAACCGAAGAUAAGUGGCAUAGACACUCAGCUACUUAAGAGUGGGAAGUCUGAGGAGAUCUUCAGUGCUCUGGUUACUCUGGGAUAUCCCCAAAUAGCCCAGAGCUUAGACCGUCAGGUGGAGUAUCUCGUGGUCUCUGAUAAUGAUGAGGAAACGGAUUUUGAUAGCAAAGCUCAUCUUGAGUACCAAAAGGGGAAAAACGGUCCCGCAGAAACUGCACAAAACAGCAUCCAGAUCGCAUGGAACAGCAGUCAGGGGCUAAAAACUCACCAUGGGACUGUCUCCAAACAGCUAAGUUCCACCAUCAGUGUCCUUGAAGAUCUUCAACAACGACUUCACCUUGAUUCCAAUGGCUCGCCAGUAAAAGCUCAGGACCAAAACACUCGAAUGAUCUCUGAUAGCAAAUGUGAGCACGUCAGCAUCACACCUGGUGGAUUUACAGGCUACGUUGAGGUUGACGAAGAGAAACGAGACCAAAAGCCCCUGGUAGGGGAGGACUACAGUAUGGUCAGUGACGUUAACAGUGAUAAUAUCCUUGUACUACAAGAAAGCAUCCCUGUACAGGGACACAAAGAAGUCAAAUGUGACAAAACAUCUGCAGCCGAGGAAACUGGAGGUGUCAUCGAACCUCUGGGAUACAUGGAAACCGUGACAACAUUUUCAAGUGGAUCUUGACUAUUUUGUGACUUAAAAUGUAGAGGUUUGGGACUAUUUUGUCUUGUAGUGUCCUGUUCAAACUAUCAAGCACUUUGUUAGUAGAGAUGUGAGAAGGGUUAUUUCAGAAAUCUGUGGUGUGUUUCCCAUACAAUGAUAUUAAAUGGCUGCUUAACUGCCAUAGUACAAUGCAAUCAUUGGAGAAAUUAACUAGCUAGUCAUGAUUGUUUCCCAAAACCACUAUUUUGUCAUUCGAACUACGUUGGCUCAACAAUCUAGAAUUGUGUGGAGUAAUAACUUCUGCUAAUUAAUCGGUUCAUGAUUGAAUUAAUGUCAGAUUAUUGCUGUAAGUAGGGAUCAUGGCAUCUGAGGACUAAAUCAGUAUUUUAGUUUGCCAUUAUUUUGCUUAUUUCCUAAUGUCUGAUUCAAUCAUGGGAUGCUUGAGCACAUUCACUCAUGCUCACUUCAAAAACUGUGCUUUCAUUCUCUUUCCAAACAAAAAUUUCAACUCUGAAGUUUGUAUACACUCACCGGCAACUUUAUUAGGUACCCCAUGCUAGUAACGGGU
This is an RNA transcript of Rhinichthys klamathensis goyatoka, 2162 nucleotides long. It is a transcript of the gene named prolactin receptor b, with no coding region annotated. The transcript is spliced from 9 exons. The record is from RefSeq and is a predicted model, not a curated record. NCBI's taxonomy places the organism in Eukaryota, Metazoa, Chordata, Actinopteri, Cypriniformes, Leuciscidae.